GGUUAAGCGACUAAGCGUACACGGUGGAUGCCCUGGCAGUCAGAGGCGAUGAAGGACGUGCUAAUCUGCGAAAAGCGUCGGUAAGGUGAUAUGAACCGUUACAGCCGGCGAUGUCCGAAUGGGGAAACCCAGUGUGAUUCGUCACACUAUCGUUAACUGAAUACAUAGGUUAACGAGGCGAACCGGGGGAACUGAAACAUCUAAGUACCCCGAGGAAAAGAAAUCAACCGAGAUUCCCCCAGUAGCGGCGAGCGAACGGGGAGCAGCCCAGAGUCUGAAUCAGCUUGUGUGUUAGUGGAACGGUCUGGAAAGUCCGACGGUACAGGGUGAUAGUCCCGUACACCAAAAUGCACAGGCUGUGAACUCGAAGAGUAGGGCGGGACACGUGGUAUCCUGUCUGAAUAUGGGGGGACCAUCCUCCAAGGCUAAAUACUCCUGACUGACCGAUAGUGAACCAGUACCGUGAGGGAAAGGCGAAAAGAACCCCGGCGAGGGGAGUGAAAAAGAACCUGAAACCGUGUACGUACAAGCAGUGGGAGCACCUUCGGGUGUGACUGCGUACCUUUUGUAUAAUGGGUCAGCGACUUAUAUUCUGUAGCAAGGUUAACCGUAUAGGGGAGCCGCAGGGAAACCGAGUCUUAACUGGGCGUUAAGUUGCAGGGUAUAGACCCGAAACCCGGUGAUCUAGCCAUGGGCAGGUUGAAGGUUGGGUAACACUAACUGGAGGACCGAACCGACUAAUGUUGAAAAAUUAGCGGAUGACUUGUGGCUGGGGGUGAAAGGCCAAUCAAACCGGGAGAUAGCUGGUUCUCCCCGAAAGCUAUUUAGGUAGCGCCUCGUGAACUCAUCUUCGGGGGUAGAGCACUGUUUCGGCUAGGGGGUCAUCCCGACUUACCAACCCGAUGCAAACUACGAAUACCGAAGAAUGUUAUCACGGGAGACACACGGCGGGUGCUAACGUCCGUCGUGAAGAGGGAAACAACCCAGACCGCCAGCUAAGGUCCCAAAGUCAUGGUUAAGUGGGAAACGAUGUGGGAAGGCACAGACAGCCAGGAUGUUGGCUUAGAAGCAGCCAUCAUUUAAAGAAAGCGUAAUAGCUCACUGGUCGAGUCGGCCUGCGCGGAAGAUGUAACGGGGCUAAACCAUGCACCGAAGCUGCGGCAGCGACACUAUGUGUUGUUGGGUAGGGGAGCGUUCUGUAAGCCUGCGAAGGUGUGCUGUGAGGCAUGCUGGAGGUAUCAGAAGUGCGAAUGCUGACAUAAGUAACGAUAAAGCGGGUGAAAAGCCCGCUCGCCGGAAGACCAAGGGUUCCUGUCCAACGUUAAUCGGGGCAGGGUGAGUCGACCCCUAAGGCGAGGCCGAAAGGCGUAGUCGAUGGGAAACAGGUUAAUAUUCCUGUACUUGGUGUUACUGCGAAGGGGGGACGGAGAAGGCUAUGUUAGCCGGGCGACGGUUGUCCCGGUUUAAGCAUGUAGGCUGAUUGUCCAGGCAAAUCCGGAUAAUCAAGGCUGAGGUGUGAUGACGAGGCACUACGGUGCUGAAGUAACAAAUGCCCUGCUUCCAGGAAAAGCCUCUAAGCAUCAGGUAACAUUAAAUCGUACCCCAAACCGACACAGGUGGUCAGGUAGAGAAUACCAAGGCGCUUGAGAGAACUCGGGUGAAGGAACUAGGCAAAAUGGUGCCGUAACUUCGGGAGAAGGCACGCUGGUGUGUAGGUGAAGUCCCUGCGGAUGGAGCUGAGACCAGUCGAAGAUACCAGCUGGCUGCAACUGUUUAUUAAAAACACAGCACUGUGCAAACACGAAAGUGGACGUAUACGGUGUGACGCCUGCCCGGUGCCGGAAGGUUAAUUGAUGGGGUUAUCCGUAAGGAGAAGCUCUUGAUCGAAGCCCCGGUAAACGGCGGCCGUAACUAUAACGGUCCUAAGGUAGCGAAAUUCCUUGUCGGGUAAGUUCCGACCUGCACGAAUGGCGUAAUGAUGGCCAGGCUGUCUCCACCCGAGACUCAGUGAAAUUGAACUCGCUGUGAAGAUGCAGUGUACCCGCGGCAAGACGGAAAGACCCCGUGAACCUUUACUAUAGCUUGACACUGAACAUUGAGCCUUGAUGUGUAGGAUAGGUGGGAGGCUUUGAAGCGUGGACGCCAGUCUGCGUGGAGCCAACCUUGAAAUACCACCCUUUAAUGUUUGAUGUUCUAACGUUGGCCCCUGACCGGGGUUGCGGACAGUGUCUGGUGGGUAGUUUGACUGGGGCGGUCUCCUCCCAAAGCGUAACGGAGGAGCACGAAGGUUAGCUAAUCCUGGUCGGACAUCAGGAGGUUAGUGCAAUGGCAUAAGCUAGCUUGACUGCGAGCGUGACGGCGCGAGCAGGUGCGAAAGCAGGUCAUAGUGAUCCGGUGGUUCUGAAUGGAAGGGCCAUCGCUCAACGGAUAAAAGGUACUCCGGGGAUAACAGGCUGAUACCGCCCAAGAGUUCAUAUCGACGGCGGUGUUUGGCACCUCGAUGUCGGCUCAUCACAUCCUGGGGCUGAAGUAGGUCCCAAGGGUAUGGCUGUUCGCCAUUUAAAGUGGUACGCGAGCUGGGUUUAGAACGUCGUGAGACAGUUCGGUCCCUAUCUGCCGUGGGCGCUGGAGAAUUGAGGGGGGCUGCUCCUAGUACGAGAGGACCGGAGUGGACGCAUCACUGGUGUUCGGGUUGUCAUGCCAAUGGCACUGCCCGGUAGCUAAAUGCGGAAGAGAUAAGUGCUGAAAGCAUCUAAGCACGAAACUUGCCCCGAGAUGAGUUCUCCCUGAGACUUUAAGUCUCCUGAAGGAACGUUAAAGACGAUGACGUUGAUAGGCCGGGUGUGUAAGCGCAGCGAUGCGUUGAGCUAACCGGUACUAAUGAACCGUGAGGCUUAACCUU
Molecule: ribosomal RNA, 2902 nt
Filed under: Klebsiella pneumoniae
Lineage: Bacteria; Pseudomonadati; Pseudomonadota; Gammaproteobacteria; Enterobacterales; Enterobacteriaceae
Description: 23S ribosomal RNA
Rfam family: Bacterial large subunit ribosomal RNA
Source: RNAcentral